RNAcentral lists this ribosomal RNA (376 nucleotides) under uncultured bacterium. RNAcentral's name for it is "bacterial SSU rRNA". It matches the Rfam family "Bacterial small subunit ribosomal RNA", at positions 523 to 898 of the family's 1533-position model. The record is from RNAcentral.
ACACGUAAGGAGCAAGCGUUGUCCGGAAUCACUGGGCGUAAAGGGUACGCAGGCGGUCUAGCAAGUCAGAGGUGAAAUCCAUUGGCUUAACCAAUGAAGUGCCUUUGAAACUGUUAGACUUGAGAGUAGGAGAGGAAGAUGGAAUUCCUGGUGUAGUGGUGAAAUACGUAGAUAUCAGGAAGAACACCUAUGGUGAAAGCAGUCUUCUGGCCUAACUCUGACGCUGAGGUACGAAAGCUAGGGUAUCAAACUGGAUUAGAUACCCCGGUAGUCCUAGCUGUAAACGCUGGAUACUAGGUGUUGGGGGUUCAACUCCCUCGGUGCCGUAGUUAACGCUUUAAGUAUCCCGCCUGGGGAAUACGACCGCAAGGUUGAA